RNAcentral lists this ribosomal RNA (253 nucleotides) under uncultured bacterium. RNAcentral describes it as "partial 16S ribosomal RNA". It matches the Rfam family "Bacterial small subunit ribosomal RNA", at positions 524 to 776 of the family's 1533-position model. The record is from RNAcentral.
UACGUAGGGUGCGAGCGUUAAUCGGAAUUACUGGGCGUAAAGCGUGCGCAGGCGGUUUUGUAAGCCAGGCGUGAAAUCCCCGGGCUCAACCUGGGAAUGGCGUUUGGGACUGCAAGGCUGGAGUACGGCAGAGGGGACUAGAAUUCCUGGUGUAGCAGUGAAAUGCGUAGAUAUCAGGAGGAAUACCGAUGGCGAAGGCAGGUCCCUGGGCUGAUACUGACGCUCAUGCACGAAAGCGUGGGGAGCAAACAGG